Molecule: long non-coding RNA, 923 nt
Organism: Leptopilina boulardi
Lineage: Eukaryota; Metazoa; Arthropoda; Insecta; Hymenoptera; Figitidae
Exons: 3
Source: RefSeq, a predicted model, not a curated record
AAACUGAAACAUUUUUUAAUCUUGGCAAAAAUUCCUAAAUUCAAUACUUUUAGAGUUAGAUGUCAUUGAAAUUAGGUUUACUUUGAGAAAACCUCGAAAAACCUAAAUUUUUAAAAAUUCAUAAAUCAAAAAUUUGGACACUUAUAAAAAAAUACGUAUACAACUUUUUUCUGCAACCGAAAAAAAAAUAUUUAUCCGAAUUCAAAAUGUCACAGGUAAAUUUCACGUGUAAUUGCCUAUAUAAUAAAGAUCAGUGCGGGAAAGAUGUAUUUCAAUUAGUUAGCAAAAUAUUUUGCUCAUCGGAAACAAGCGCCGCCCGCCAUCUAGUAUCGUGCACCAUUACUAUACAUCUAUAAUUGUAUCAUGGCGGAUGCAUUAAGAGAGGUUAGUGUUUGUCAGUAUUUAUUUAUCAUGAUUUGCAUAAUAUUUCAUAACUCUUAUAUUUAUUUGAAUGAUAAAUUAGUGCAUCUAAUAAUAAUAAUACUUGUAUGCAAUAUAACUGAAUAUUUAAUUAUUUAUAUGUGUGUCAAAUUUAAAUUAAUUUUUGAUGAGAAGUAAAAUUCGAACAGUGGAAGAGUAUUAAGUGUCGGUCAGUGUUCAUUGGUUUUCAUGACGUUAUAUACAUAAUUAGCACGUAAACAAUUUUUGGGUUUUAUAAACAAGUAAUAAAUGUUAUUUAUUUAUAUUUAUAAAACAUUUAAAGAUGAGUGACGUAAGAAGACUUCUUAAAAAAAUUGUGUUUUGAAGAAGAAAUUAUUUCGACAUUCGAAGUGAGGUACCCCAAACAAGUUACAACAGAAAUCGUCAAAAGAAGCAAUUUGAGGGUUGAAAUUGUUUCCGCUUUCUUCAGAGUAUAUUUUUUUAAAAUACAUUAUUAUUUCUUAUUACGAUGCUAAAAUUAAUUAUUAUAAUUAUACAGACAG